ACAGCGGAAACCGAAAAGCUUUAAGAGUAGGUG
Molecule: non-coding RNA, 33 nt
Submitted as: unclassified sequences
Source: Rfam